This is a long non-coding RNA of Spinacia oleracea (spinach), 772 nucleotides long. RefSeq lists it as uncharacterized. NCBI's taxonomy places the organism in Eukaryota, Viridiplantae, Streptophyta, Magnoliopsida, Caryophyllales, Amaranthaceae. The transcript is spliced from 3 exons. The record is from RefSeq and is a predicted model, not a curated record.
UCCUCUAACCUCUCACCAUUUUCUGAAUCAUCAAAAACCUCUCACUCUCUCUCCUCCAUUGAUGUCACUCCGUCUCUCUCCUCCCAAACAAUCCAGCCUCCUCCCCUCCACUUUUCGUCGUCGCCGUCGAUUUUCUCUAGCUACGACCAAACAACCGCGCCACCGCCUUCUCCGCCACCGACGCUAACGCCUUCUCCGAACAUCGACGAACGCUUCUCCGAACGUCGUCGCUAACGCCAAAGAAACCUGACCUAAAAAUAGUUAGCCGACAGUUAAAGGCCUUGGAAAUGAUGAACUCUACGAAAGUAAUCUAGCUUCUGUGUGUAAGUUGUAAAGGAAGAAAAAGUUCAAUAAGAAUGCGACAACAAAAGAAGAAGGCUGAUUUAGAAAUGGAAGAUAUGGUAUUAAGAGAGGCUGUAAGAAUUGAAGGCAGGAGCAACCAAAAAAGAAUCUACAAAUAAGUAAGAAAAAGAAAGAGAAUAGAGAUCGUUGUGGCGAAAAAAGUGGAAGCCGAAAGGAAGGAAGCUGAAAAAUUAGAAGCCUAGAAAGAGAAGAGGCAACAACCACUAAAAUAGAGGAUGGAGAUAGAAAAUAAAUGUCAUGUUCAUUUUCUGAACAUGAAUGUUCAUUAAAUUACUUUAAAUGUCCAUUUUUUUGUUCCUUAUGUGUGCUUCCAGCUUACUAAAAUAAUGAGAUGUUUUUUUUUCUGGAAAACAUGUGUAAUAAAAAAUUUAAUUUUCUUUUUUUAAAAUAAAGGAAACAUAAUAAUGCA